AACGAACGCUGGCGGCGUGCCUAACACAUGCAAGUCGAGCGAGAAAGUCCCGGCAACGGGAUGAGUAAAGCGGCAAACGGGUGAGUAACGCGUGGGUAAUCUACCCUACGGAUCGGGAUAACCUGCCGAAGGGUGGACUAAUACCGGAUGAUGUUCUCGCGGUGAUUCCGUGGGAACCAAAGGGGGCGAGCGUAAGCAGCUCUCACCGAAGGAGGAGCCUGCGUCCGAUUAGCUAGUUGGUGGGGUAAUGGCCUACCAAGGCGACGAUCGGUAGCCGGCCUGAGAGGGCGAUCGGCCACACUGGAACUGAGACACGGUCCAGACUCCUACGGGAGGCAGCAGUGGGGAAUAUUGCGCAAUGGGCGAAAGCCUGACGCAGCGACGCCGCGUGGGUGAUGAAGGCCUUCGGGUCGUAAAGCCCUGUCUGGUGGAACGAAACGCCUGGCGGCCAAUACCCGCCGGGUUUGACGGUACCACCGAAGGAAGCCCCGGCUAACUACGUGCCAGCAGCCGCGGUAAGACGUAGGGGGCGAGCGUUGUUCGGAUUUACUGGGCGUAAAGCGCGCGUAGGCGGCCAGAUAAGUCGGGUGUGAAAGCCCUCGGCUCAACCGAGGUUCCGCAUCCGAUACUGCUUGGCUGGAGUCUAGGAGAGGAGAGCGGAAUUCCCAGUGUAGCGGUGAAAUGCGUAGAUAUUGGGAGGAACACCCGUGGCGAAGGCGGCUCUCUGGACUAGUACUGACGCUGAGGCGCGAAAGCUAGGGGAGCGAACGGGAUUAGAUACCCCGGUAGUCCUAGCCGUAAACGAUGGGCACUAGGUGUGGGAGGUAUUGACCCCUUCCGCGCCGAAGCUAACGCAUUAAGUGCCCCGCCUGGGGAGUACGGCCGCAAGGCUAAAACUCAAAGGAAUUGACGGGGGCCCGCACAAGCGGUGGAGCAUGUGGUUCAAUUCGACGCAACGCGAAGAACCUUACCAGGGCUUGACAUCCCACGAACCUGCCUGAAAGGGCGGGGUGCC
Molecule: ribosomal RNA, 1015 nt
Filed under: uncultured bacterium
Lineage: Bacteria
Description: bacterial SSU rRNA
Rfam family: Bacterial small subunit ribosomal RNA
Source: RNAcentral